GAUGAUCUUGGAGAAAGAAAACAGGCAAGGGAUGGUGAUGAUUCUAAAGAAGGGAACCGCAGAAAGGAUGAGGAUGACCAUGGAGAGAGGAAGAACUUGAGCGAUGUAGUUGACCUUGUUGAGAGAAAGCGUGGAAGGGAUGAGGAUGAACAUGGAGAGAGAAAGUUCAGAAGGGAUGAGGAUGAACAUGGAGAGAGAAAGUUCAGAAGGGAUGAGGAUGAACAUGGAGAGAGAAAGUUCAGAAGGGAUGAGGAUGAACAUGGAGAGAGAAAGUUCAGAAGGGAGGAGGAUGAACAUGGAGAAAGAAAGUUCAGAAGGGACGAGGAUGAACAUGGAGAAAGAAAGUUCAGAAGGGAUGAGGAUGAUCAUGCAAGAAGAAAGUUCAGAAGGGAUGAUGAUGAUUAUGGAGAAAGGAAGCACUCAAGAGAUGAGGGUGGUGUUCAUAUGGAAGCAAAACACAGUAGGAUUGAGGAUAGUCGUGGAGAACGAAAGAACAUAAGGGAGGAUGAUGAUAGAGAGAGAAAGCACUCAAAGGAUGAAGGUGGUCGUGGAGAAAGAAAGCACAAAAGGGACGAUGAUGAUGAUGGUCAUGAAGAAAGAAAACAGCACCGAAGGGAU
RNAcentral lists this long non-coding RNA (618 nucleotides) under Phaseolus vulgaris (common bean). Its description in RNAcentral is "long non-coding RNA (PVUL_LNC004959)". Lineage: Eukaryota; Viridiplantae; Streptophyta; Magnoliopsida; Fabales; Fabaceae. The record is from RNAcentral.